Non-coding RNA from Pirellula sp. SH-Sr6A, 87 nucleotides. The record is from Rfam. Lineage: Bacteria; Pseudomonadati; Planctomycetota; Planctomycetia; Pirellulales; Pirellulaceae.
CGACGCUACGAAAGCAGCGCCGGGCUGUAUAGAAGUCAGCAGAGGCCGUAGUACUGACCUUCCAACGCCAAUGGAAGCAGGAAGGGC